UACCAGCUCGACAUGACGUUCAAAUUU
This 27-nucleotide non-coding RNA is filed under the name Mus musculus (house mouse). The record is from RNAcentral. Lineage: Eukaryota; Metazoa; Chordata; Mammalia; Rodentia; Muridae.